RNAcentral lists this long non-coding RNA (1329 nucleotides) under Piliocolobus tephrosceles (Ugandan red Colobus). RNAcentral describes it as "lncRNA (ENSPTEG00000004478.1)". Lineage: Eukaryota; Metazoa; Chordata; Mammalia; Primates; Cercopithecidae. The record is from RNAcentral.
AUAUAUAUAUAUAUAUGCACAUAUGUAUACAUUUAUGCUCGUAUAUACCCGUUAUAUUUAAUUAAGAUAAAACAUAAUAUUGUCCUUUUUUUAUCUUAUUUUAUUUUUUUCUUUAAAGAAGAUGAUACACUAACCCACAAAUAUCCGUUAAAAAAACUUAUUACAUAAAAUAAUGAGUUUAGAAAAUGAAAAAAAAAAAUUGCUAAAAUUUUUGGAAAAUAAAAACAACACAGAAUUGGAAUACAAAAAGGCUUUACAAACUCAAGCCGCAGUUGCUAAGUCUGAGAAUAAAAAAUCUGAAUUUUACGAAAACGAAUGGUUACACAUGAAAUCGAUUGAAUAUUCUUGCAUGAAUAAUAAAAAGGAACAAUUUAGAAAAACGUUAGAACUACUUUAUAAAGACCCUAAAAUAUGUGAAAAAUUAGGAAACCUUACAGAGUCUCAAAAAUUGUGUAUUACAAAUGUGUUAAAGGACCAAAAUAAAUUAGUCAAAGAAUUAAAUACUACCUCGAAAAAAUACCAAGAAGCAGUGGAUGCAAAUUUUAAAUUAUAUCAACAAAACGAAAUGCUUAAGAUUCAAAAUGCAAGUCUUGUUAAAAAAAAUAAAGAUAUAAUAAAUGAAGAACUGGAAAAAAAAUUAACUGCAUUAAAUGAAUCGCUUAUUAAUGUUCAAGCGGAAAAUAUUGAGCUUACAGAUAAAAUUGAACAAUAUUCAAAGUUAAUAAAAAACGUAAAAAAGCUGCACAGAGGUAAAUCAUAUACAUAUACAUAUAUAUAUAUAUAUAUACAAAUCAUUAAUUGUUUUGUUUUUAUAUACCAACAUGUGUGCACAACUGUACUGCUUUUUUAUCUUAAUUUAUAUAGUUAUAAGUUUCAGAUAUUCAUAUGUUAUGUUUAUUUAAUUAACCGUUUGUCAAGUUUGCCUGUCUUAUUAUUACUUUAUUUUAUUUUACUUUUUUUAUUGCUUUUAGAUUAAUUAUGUUGUGGAAGAGCUAAAAAAUUUUGAAAAUUGUUUGUUAAUUUAAGGAAAGGUGAAUAACGGCAUAUUAUAUAUAUUUAGUAAAUUUUCAAGAAACAUGAAAAUGAUAUUUAUUUAUUUUCUGAGUAUAUAUAAUUUAUAAAUUAUUUAAAAAAAAAAAAAAAAAAAAAAAAAAAAAAAAAAAAAAACUAUAAUUUUUAAUAUUAAUUAUAAAAAAAGUUUUAAUCUUACAUGCUUUUUUUUAUUAUAUUUGUUCGUUUUAGUCUUUGCCUUAGUGGGAUCAUCACUUGUUCUAGCAUGUUCUAACACGUGUUUUAACCCGCUUUUUUUUUUUUUUUUUUUUUUUAUGU